UUUUGCAUAUCAAAAAGCGGAGGAAAAGAAACCAACAGGGAUUGCCUCAGUAACGGCGAGUGAAGCGGCAACAGCUCAAAUUUGAAAUCUGGCCUCUUCGGGGUCCGAGUUGUAAUUUGUAGAGGAUGUUUCGGGUACCGCCUCGGUCUAAAUUUCUUGGAACAGAAUGUCAGAGAGGGUGAGAAUCCCGUCUUGGACCGGCGGUAGGGCCCAUGUGAAACUCCUUCGACGAGUCGAGUUGUUUGGGAAUGCAGCUCAAAAUGGGUGGUAAAUUUCAUCUAAAGCUAAAUAUUGGCCAGAGACCGAUAGCGCACAAGUAGAGUGAUCGAAAGAUGAAAAGAACUUUGAAAAGAGAGUUAAACAGUAUGUGAAAUUGUUGAAAGGGAAGCGCUUGCAACCAGACUUGAGCGCGGCGGUUCCCCCUUCCUUCUGGUUGGGUUACUCCGCCGUGUCCAGGCCAACAUCGGUUCUGGGGGUCGGUUAAAGGCUUGGGGAAUGUAUCUACUCCUUCGGGGGUAGACUUAUAGCCCCAGGUGUCAUGCGACCUCCCGGGACCGAGGAACGCGCUUCGGCUCGGAUGUUGGCGUAAUGGUUGUCAGCGACCCGUCUUGAAACACGGACCA
This 623-nucleotide ribosomal RNA is filed under the name Exophiala jeanselmei. Its description in RNAcentral is "LSU rRNA". It matches the Rfam family "Eukaryotic large subunit ribosomal RNA", at positions 34 to 668 of the family's 3401-position model. The record is from RNAcentral. Lineage: Eukaryota; Fungi; Ascomycota; Eurotiomycetes; Chaetothyriales; Herpotrichiellaceae.